This 253-nucleotide ribosomal RNA is filed under the name uncultured bacterium. Its description in RNAcentral is "partial 16S ribosomal RNA". It matches the Rfam family "Bacterial small subunit ribosomal RNA", at positions 524 to 776 of the family's 1533-position model. The record is from RNAcentral.
UACAGAGGUCUCAAGCGUUGUUCGGAUUCAUUGGGCGUAAAGAGCGUGUAGGCGGUCCGGUAAGUCCGCUGUGAAAGUCGGGGGCUCACCCUCGGAAGUGCAUUGGAAACUGGCAGACUGGAGUCCCGGAGAGGAGGGUGGAAUUCCUGGUGUAGCGGUGAAAUGCGUAGAUAUCAGGAGGAACACCGGUGGCGAAGGCGGCCCUCUGGACGGUGACUGACGCUGAGACGCGAAAGCGUGGGGAGCAAACAGG